This 1400-nucleotide long non-coding RNA is filed under the name Solanum tuberosum (potato). RNAcentral's name for it is "long non-coding RNA (STUB_LNC009447)". The record is from RNAcentral. Lineage: Eukaryota; Viridiplantae; Streptophyta; Magnoliopsida; Solanales; Solanaceae.
AUCUUUUGUCAGCAAGUGAUUCUAUUCCUAGUUGCAGAAAAAACACAUUACCUUGACAUAGCCUCCAACAAAAGAACUUAUAAUACAUAAACACACACUCAAACUUGGGCUUAGCUGACAAGUAAGCACUCCAACUUUGAGAAUGCACAUCUAGACACUUCAACUCGUCUGUACUGUGUGUCAGUUGAACACUCUAGAUUAUAAAAUGAUUAUCCAGACACCUCCAAAAUUUAUGUGCCACGUCAGCGUCGAGUGUCCACGAGACACAGUGGGGAUGAGUUGGAAUGUUAAGUGUCAGUUGAGACCAAGAUGAGGUGUUAAGAUGUGCACUCUUAAAGUUGGAGUGAUGUGCUUACUUUCUAGUUGAUCCCAAGUUUGAGUGUCUGUUUAUAUAUUAUGCCUAAGAAGAGUUAACUUCUUUCUUUAUCCCUACAUUAUAAGAUAAAAAAUAACUUCUUUCUUUACUGGUGUGAAUUUAUGCUUGAGGACUGAAAGUAUAUGCUCUACAUCUCUUUACUUUUGACCUUUUUGUUUACUCUCAACAGGCACGGGAUACGGAAGGGGCAGAGGCGGAGGCUGGGGUGGUGGCAGAGGUUAUAGUCGUGGACGAGGCCGGAUGGGUGGUCGAGGAGGAAGGGGUGGUGGAAACCAGUAUAGGCAAGAAGAGUUUGCUGUCAGAGCUUGAUAGGAAGAAAUAUUGCACAACCUUUGGCAUAGUGUGAAACUCUUUUGAGUGAAUUUUCAUGCAGUUUUGUUUGAUGUUUCUUGGCAAAAGGUUUUGUUACUUUGGUUGGUUUCUUUUGCUUAGUUGGAGAGCCAUUUUUUUUUUUUUGUUCUUGUUUUCAGUUGAGACCAAGAUGAGGUGUUAAGAUGUGCACUCUUAAAGUUGGAGUGAUGUGCUUACUUUCUAGUUGAUCCCAAGUUUGAGUGUCUGUUUAUAUAUUAUGCCUAAGAAGAGUUAACUUCUUUCUUUAUCCCUACAUUAUAAGAUAAAAAAUAACUUCUUUCUUUACUGGUGUGAAUUUAUGCUUGAGGACUGAAAGUAUAUGCUCUACAUCUCUUUACUUUUGACCUUUUUGUUUACUCUCAACAGGCACGGGAUACGGAAGGGGCAGAGGCGGAGGCUGGGGUGGUGGCAGAGGUUAUAGUCGUGGACGAGGCCGGAUGGGUGGUCGAGGAGGAAGGGGUGGUGGAAACCAGUAUAGGCAAGAAGAGUUUGCUGUCAGAGCUUGAUAGGAAGAAAUAUUGCACAACCUUUGGCAUAGUGUGAAACUCUUUUGAGUGAAUUUUCAUGCAGUUUUGUUUGAUGUUUCUUGGCAAAAGGUUUUGUUACUUUGGUUGGUUUCUUUUGCUUAGUUGGAGAGCCAUUUUUUUUUUUUGGUUCUUGUUUUCUCAUAUGA